GACCAUCGAUGACCAUCCGGUGUCACGCUACUGCUACCUUGGUCUCGUCCCGAGCGCACAUGUCCUCCUACCUCCCGCCCCUCCUCCCCUCCGCGCGACCCUGACCCACGACAACCCGCAGCGGCGGUGGCAGCAGUUACAGGCGGACCAAUUGAUGUGGUGGAAGGAGUACAAGGAGGACAUCGCGGAGAGGAAGAGGAUAUUCCUUGGUGCGUCCUCUACUCUUCGAGGUGACACUCCGAUGAGUGGUGGUGGCGAUGGCGGUGUGGAGGACUCCACCACCGGCGACAAUGAAGGUGCUUGAUGGACGUGGAAGUGGUCUAGGAGAUGGCGCCGAGGUGCAACUUUUUGAUGAUGGUGCCGAUGAGAGGGGGAAGAUGAUGAUUUUGUGAUGUAAACUAUUAAACCAUGCAUCAAUGAUUUUCAUUUCCGUGUUUGUUUGAAGGUUGAUUGUGUUUUUUAGUGAUAAUUGUGAUAUGUCAAAUGACAGUUGUAAGGGUUGGGGUUGCGGCAAAGACUAGAACUCCCAAACUUAACCCUUAUAGCGGAAUAUUCCGUUAUAAAGAUUGUGUUUGAAGAUUCUAGUCUUUGUUUCUGUUUUUUAACCUUUAAAACUAAUAAAAAUAUCAAUUUUUAACUUUUAAACUGGUUUGAGGAUUUAAGGAUUCGAAGGCUGUGCUAGUGAUGCUCUUACUAUUUCAACGCAAAGCUACGGAAAUAAACUUCAGAUGCACUCGACACUAGCGAGUGUGCCGAUAAGCGCUCCUCCACGUCUCGGCAAACGGCAGCCACGGAACGAAUAACCUCACACGCGCCCCUCUUGGGCACCGCAUCGCACCGCUUCCCAGUUUCCCAGCGUCCGCGCCGCAAAAGAAGAACACUACUACUACGACCAUCGAUGGCCGUCCGGUGUCACGCUGCUGCUACCUUGGUCUCGUCCCGAGCACACCUGUCCUCCUACCUCCCGCCCCUCCUCCCCUCCGCGCGACCCCGAUCCACGACAACCCGCAGCUGCGGCGGCAGCAGUUACAGGCGGACCGCCGUUCGCGCCAUGGGCGCCGCGCCGUCGUCGCCCUCGCCGUCCGGACAAGCCCCAGGUU
This 1100-nucleotide long non-coding RNA is filed under the name Hordeum vulgare. RNAcentral describes it as "long non-coding RNA (HVUL_LNC019721)". The record is from RNAcentral. Lineage: Eukaryota; Viridiplantae; Streptophyta; Magnoliopsida; Poales; Poaceae.